This 50-nucleotide small RNA is filed under the name Vibrio genomosp. F10. RNAcentral's name for it is "Vibrio sp. F10 Qrr RNA". It matches the Rfam family "Qrr RNA", at positions 1 to 50 of the family's 108-position model. Rfam says of the family: This family represents a set of small RNAs (the Qrr RNAs) that are thought to be involved in the regulation of quorum sensing in Vibrio species. It is believed that these RNAs, guided by a protein, Hfq, can mediate the destabilisation of the quorum-sensing master regulators LuxR/HapR mRNAs. Lineage: Bacteria; Pseudomonadati; Pseudomonadota; Gammaproteobacteria; Vibrionales; Vibrionaceae. The record is from Rfam by way of RNAcentral.
UGACCCUUCUUAAGCCGAGGGUCACCUAGCCAACUGACGUUGUUAGUGAA